CCUACGGGUGGCAGCAGUGAGGAAUAUUGGUCAAUGGACGAGAGUCUGAACCAGCCAAGUAGCGUGAAGGAUGACUGCCCUAUGGGUUGUAAACUUCUUUUAUAUGGGAAUAAAAUGUGCCACGUGUGUCUUUUUGUAUGUACCAUAUGAAUAAGGAUCGGCUAACUCCGUGCCAGCAGCCGCGGUAAUACGGAGGAUCCGAGCGUUAUCCGGAUUUAUUGGGUUUAAAGGGAGCGUAGGUGGUUUGUUAAGUCAGUUGUGAAAGUUUGCGGCUCAACCGUAGAAUUGCAUUUGAAACUGGCAGUCUUGAGUACAGUUGAGGUAGGCGGAAUGCGUGGUGUAGCGGUGAAAUGCUUAGAUAUCACGAAGAACUCCGAUUGCGAAGGCAGCUUACUGGACUGCAACUGACACUGAGGCUCGAAAGUGUGGGUAUCAAACAGGAUUAGAUACCCGUGUAGUC
Molecule: ribosomal RNA, 460 nt
Filed under: uncultured bacterium
Lineage: Bacteria
Description: partial 16S ribosomal RNA
Rfam family: Bacterial small subunit ribosomal RNA
Source: RNAcentral